UACGUAGGGUCCGAGCGUUGUUCGGAAUUAUUGGGCGUAAAGGGCUCGUAGGCGGUCUGUUGCGUCGGGAGUGAAAACUUACAGCUUAACUGUGAGCGUGCUUCCGAUACGGGCAGACUUGAGGUAUUCAGGGGAGAACGGAAUUCCUGGUGUAGCGGUGAAAUGCGCAGAUAUCAGGAGGAACACCGGUGGCGAAGGCGGUUCUCUGGGAAUAUCCUGACGCUGAGGAGCGAAAGUGUGGGGAGCGAACAGG
RNAcentral lists this ribosomal RNA (253 nucleotides) under uncultured bacterium. Its description in RNAcentral is "partial 16S ribosomal RNA". It matches the Rfam family "Bacterial small subunit ribosomal RNA", at positions 524 to 776 of the family's 1533-position model. The record is from RNAcentral.